AUGGGGAGCCGGAUCCCUCUUCUUUUCUUUCUGCCUGGGGCAGCCGGCGUGGAGGUCGAGCCGGGUCGGAUGGCAGGCGGCCGCGGCGGAGGCGACCGGACGGGGUGGCGGAGCCGGCUAACAGCGACCGGAGCCGGCACGCGGGCGCGCAGCCAGGCGGGAGCGAUGCGAGGCAGCAGAGCUGCUGUCGGCGCGGGGCAGCGCCAGGCCAGCCGGAGUGGCGGAGGUGGCGACGGGGCAAGCCGGCACGGGGCAACGCAGGUGGGUGGAUGGAGCAGCCGGAGCGGCCAGGCAUGGGACUCGGCGUCCGGGUGCACCGCGCGAUGUAGGCGCGACACGUGGACGGAGGAGUCCGUGAUGCGGGCAGGUGGCCGGGUGGCCCAACCGGCAGGUCGGACUCGGAGCCGACGCGGAUCCAGCAGGCGGGUGCGGGAGCCGGCCCGGUGUGGUGCGCGGAGGCGGACCGACGAGGUGCGGGAUUCGGCGAGGGGAGCAGUCGGCGCCGGCCACGAGCGCUGGGAACCCGGCGCGGAAGCGGCGCAAGCGGGGACGCCCGGCCGAGCCGGCACGGAUGCCGGUCGCGGUGGUGAGGGGCGCAGCUGGCGCGGCAAGCCGCCGGCUGGGUGGAGCAGAAGCCGGCAUGGGGCCUGCGGGCUCGCGGGAGCUGGCCGUGGCGUGGAGACGGCGAGCCGCACGAGGGCGCAGGAAAAGACGAGGCCAGGCGCGGGAGAGGCGACGCGCGGGGCGGCCCGAGCCGCAAGCCGGGCGAGGAGGGGCGCCGGAGCAACUGCUGCGCGAGGCACGCGGGCGAAGUGCUGCGGCAGCUCGAGGCAGGCCGGACAGCUACGCGCAUCUCGACGCGGUGGUGGAGCAGAGUACGGCCGCGGGCGAGAGUCGCGCGUGAAGCAGUACGUACGCAAGUAG
RNAcentral lists this ribosomal RNA (924 nucleotides) under Triticum aestivum (bread wheat). RNAcentral's name for it is "partial small subunit ribosomal RNA". The record is from RNAcentral. Lineage: Eukaryota; Viridiplantae; Streptophyta; Magnoliopsida; Poales; Poaceae.